This is a long non-coding RNA of Orcinus orca (killer whale), 876 nucleotides long. RefSeq lists it as uncharacterized. The transcript is spliced from 2 exons. Lineage: Eukaryota; Metazoa; Chordata; Mammalia; Artiodactyla; Delphinidae. The record is from RefSeq and is a predicted model, not a curated record.
UCUUGGCAUGUUUCUCCUUGGAUAUUUCCUGUAUGGCACUGUCUGCGCUUCCUGGACUUGAUUGCCUAUUUCCUUUCCCAUAUAAGGGAAGUUUCCAACUGUAUUCUCCUCAAAUAUUUUCUCAGUCCCUUUCUUUUUCUCUUCUUCUUCUGCGAGCCCUAUAAUUCGAAUGUUGGUGUGUUUAAUGUUGUCCCAGAGGUCUCUGAGACUGUCCUCAAUUCUUUUUAUUCUUUUUUCUUUAUUCUGCUCUGCAGUAGUUAUUUCUACUAUUUUAUCUUCCAGGUCACUUUUCUGUUCUUCUGCCUCAGUUAUUCUGCUGUUGAUUCCUUACAGAGAAUUUUUAAUUUCAUUUAUCGUGUUCUUCAUCAUUGUUUGUUUGCUCCUUAGUUCUUUUAGGUCCUUGUUAAACGUUUAUUGUAUUUUCUCCAUUCUAUUUCCAAGCUUUUGGCUCAUGUUUACUAUGAUUACUCUGAGUUCUUUUUCAGGUGGACUGCCUAUUUCCUCCUCAUUUGUUUGGUCUGGUGGGUUUUUUCCUUGUUCCUUCAUCUGCUGUGUAUUUCUCUGUAUUCUCAUUUUGCUUAACUUACUGUGUUUGGGGUCUCCUCUUUGCAGGCUGCAGGUUCGUAGUUCCUGCUGUUUCUGGUGUCUGCCCCCAAUGGCUAAGGGCUUCCCUGGUGGCGCAGUGGUUGAGAGUCUGCCUGCCGAUGCAGGGGACGCGGAUUCGUGCCCCGGUCCGGGAAGAUCCCACAUGCCGCGGAGCGGCUGGGCCCGCGAGCCAUGGCCGCUGAGCCUGCGCGUCCGGAGCCUGUGCUCCGCAACGGGAGAGGCCACAACAGUGAGAGGCCCGUGUACCGGAAAAAAAAAAACAAAACAAAA